AAUAUUGCGCAAUGGAGGGAACUCUGACGCAGCGACGCCGCGUGAGCGAUGAAGGUUUUCGGAUCGUAAAGCUCUGUCCUUGGGGAAGAAGGCGGCCAUUUUUGGCCACUUGACGGUACCCAAGGAGGAAGCCCCGGCUAACUACGUGCCAGCAGCCGCGGUAAUACGUAGGGGGCAAGCGUUGUCCGGAAUUAUUGGGCGUAAAGGGCACGCAGGCGGUUAUUUAAGUCUGAUGUGAAAUCUUGUGGCUUAACCACAAGCGGUCAUUGGAAACUGGAUAACUUGAGUACAGAAGAGGAGAGUGGAAUUCCACGUGUAGCGGUGAGAUGCGUAGAGAUGUGGAGGAACACCAGUGGCGAAGGCGGCUCUCUGGUCUGUAACUGACGCUGAGGUGCGAAAGCGUGGGUAGCGAACA
RNAcentral lists this ribosomal RNA (415 nucleotides) under uncultured bacterium. RNAcentral describes it as "partial 16S ribosomal RNA". It matches the Rfam family "Bacterial small subunit ribosomal RNA", at positions 360 to 774 of the family's 1533-position model. The record is from RNAcentral.